UACGGAGGGUGCAAACGUUGCUCGGAAUCAUUGGGCGUAAAGCGCACGUAGGCGGUCUUUUAAGUCGGAUGUGAAAGCCCCAGGCUCAACCUGGGAAGUGCAUCGGAAACUGGAAGGCUGGAGUACGGAAGAGGGUCUCGGAAUUCCCGGUGUAGAGGUGAAAUUCGUAGAUAUCGGGAGGAACACCAGUGGCGAAGGCGGAGACCUGGGCCGAUACUGACGCUGAGGUGCGAAAGCGUGGGGAGCAAACAGG
Molecule: ribosomal RNA, 253 nt
Filed under: uncultured bacterium
Lineage: Bacteria
Description: partial 16S ribosomal RNA
Rfam family: Bacterial small subunit ribosomal RNA
Source: RNAcentral